GAGUGGGUGUAUAUCGUGUGUGAGUAAUCUAAGGCCGCGUGAGUGAUGAAGGCUUUCGGGUCGUAAAACUCUGUUGUUAGGGAAGAACAAGUGCUAGUUGAAUAAGCUGGCACCUUGACGGUACCUAACCAGAAAGCCACGGCUAACUACGUGCCAGCAGCCGCGGUAAUACGUAGGUGGCAAGCGUUAUCCGGAAUUAUUGGGCGUAAAGCGCGCGCAGGUGGUUUCUUAAGUCUGAUGUGAAAGCCCACGGCUCAACCGUGGAGGGUCAUUGGAAACUGGGAGACUUGAGUGCAGAAGAGGAAAGUGGAAUUCCAUGUGUAGCGGUGAAAUGCGUAGAGAUAUGGAGGAACACCAGUGGCGAAGGCGACUUUCUGGUCUGUAACUGACACUGAGGCGCGAAAGCGUGGGGAGCAAACAGGAUUAGAUACCCUGAAUAGUCCCA
This 445-nucleotide ribosomal RNA is filed under the name Bacillus sp. (in: firmicutes). RNAcentral's name for it is "bacterial SSU rRNA". It matches the Rfam family "Bacterial small subunit ribosomal RNA", at positions 349 to 797 of the family's 1533-position model. Lineage: Bacteria; Bacillati; Bacillota; Bacilli; Caryophanales; Bacillaceae. The record is from RNAcentral.